UACAACGUAGCGCUAAUGCAUUGGAUCCCAUUAGAACUCUGUAGUUAAGUGCGCUCAAGCUAGAGUAGUAUUGGGAUGGGUAGCCAUCCGGGAAUUUCUAGUGUUUUAA
Molecule: non-coding RNA, 109 nt
Organism: Picea glauca (white spruce)
Lineage: Eukaryota; Viridiplantae; Streptophyta; Pinopsida; Pinales; Pinaceae
Source: Rfam